UUUGUCAAAGACAGUCUAAAAUGAAUUGAAGCGUUACAAAAUCAUGAUAAUCUAACAAACAUAAUAUAAUACAAACUUUGUUUCAGUAGAAUAAAUAAUAUAUUUUCUUUUAGAUACAGCAUUAUUUAUGCAGCAAAAAAUUACCAUUUUUCAUGGGUUCAAUCUGACAACAUUGACCAAUGUUCCGUUGUUGGUGGCGAGUUAUGUCGUUCAUACAAUUUUGCUGAUUUUUUGAUAGAAAAAAACUGAUUCUUCUGGAUUCUGUUUGAGAGUAUUCUGUUCCUUAAUACCUGCUUAACCUCGUCAAAACGAGCUCAGUAAUAAUACACACCAGCAUGUAUUAUAAAGGCCACCUAAAGGAAGAGUGGGCGACCACUUAUAUGUAUAAUCCUGAUGUUCGACCAUCAUUCUGGUUUAUGAGUUGGUCUUCCAUCAUCUUAUUAAAAGUUUUCUACAAAUUCUGCAACAAAUCAAUGGAUAUAUACAGUUUCAGGGCAGUACAUUUAUCCUUUUCAUGAAUAUUACCAACAAUAAUGCAUCGGGACUUAUAUAUAAGUAUAUCAAAAAUUAUUUCUUUUGGGAUAUUGUACUGCUUUGGAACAACAAUUUUUGGACAAGGACAGCUGCACAUCAAUUCAACCACACUCUUCGUAUCAUUGGGUUAGGAUGUUAUUAGGUUGAUUAAAUUCAACAAUCAACAGCGGAUUAAGAACGAAAUUCAUCAUUGAAGAGGAAGCUAAAUAAUUUUAGAACCAAGAUCCAGAAGUGUAGCGAGAAGAUUUACUUAGGUACCUCAACAUAGUCUUCAGCAUAUCCAUCAACACUGUUAAUUUAAUAUACAUUUAUAAUAAAAUAUAAUACGUAAA
Sitophilus oryzae (rice weevil) is the source of this 866-nucleotide long non-coding RNA. RefSeq lists it as uncharacterized. The record is from RefSeq and is a predicted model, not a curated record. Lineage: Eukaryota; Metazoa; Arthropoda; Insecta; Coleoptera; Curculionidae. The transcript is spliced from 5 exons.